This 312-nucleotide ribosomal RNA is filed under the name uncultured bacterium. RNAcentral's name for it is "bacterial SSU rRNA". It matches the Rfam family "Bacterial small subunit ribosomal RNA", at positions 249 to 573 of the family's 1533-position model. The record is from RNAcentral.
UUGGUGAGGUAACGGCUCACCAAGGCUUCGACGGGUAGCCGGCCUGAGAGGGCGACCGGCCACACUGGGACUGAGAUACGGCCCAGACUCCUACGGGAGGCAGCAGUGGGGAAUAUUGCACAAUGGGCGAAAGCCUGAUGCAGCAACGCCGCGUGCGGGAUGACGGCCUUCGGGUUGUAAACCGCUUUCAGUAGGGACGAAGCGAAAGUGACGGUACCUACAGAAGAAGGACCGGCUAACUACGUGCCAGCAGCCGCGGUGAUACGUAGGGUCCAAGCGUUGUCCGGAAUUAUUGGGCGUAAAGGGCUUGUA